UACGGAGGAUGCGAGCGUUAUACGGAUUUAUUGGGUUUAAAGGGUGCGUAGGCGGGCUUUUAAGUCAGCGGUAAAAAUUCGGGGCUCAACCCCGUCCGGCCGUUGAAACUGGGGGCCUUGAGUGGGCGAGAAGAAGGCGGAAUGCGUGGUGUAGCGGUGAAAUGCAUAGAUAUCACGCAGAACCCCGAUUGCGAAGGCAGCCUUCCGGCGCCCUACUGACGCUGAGGCACGAAAGUGCGGGGAUCGAACAGG
RNAcentral lists this ribosomal RNA (252 nucleotides) under uncultured bacterium. RNAcentral describes it as "partial 16S ribosomal RNA". It matches the Rfam family "Bacterial small subunit ribosomal RNA", at positions 524 to 776 of the family's 1533-position model. The record is from RNAcentral.